Molecule: ribosomal RNA, 404 nt
Filed under: uncultured bacterium
Lineage: Bacteria
Description: bacterial SSU rRNA
Rfam family: Bacterial small subunit ribosomal RNA
Source: RNAcentral
UGAGGAAUAUUGCACAAUGGGCGAAAGCCUGAUGCAGCAACGCCGCGUGAGGGACGAAGGCCUUCGGGUCGUAAACCUCUUUUCUGGGGGACGAGUAAGGACGGUACUCCAGGAAUAAGUCUCGGCUAACUACGUGCCAGCAGCCGCGGUAAAACGUAGGAGGCGAGCGUUAUCCGGAUUUACUGGGCGUAAAGCGUACGCAGGUGGCUUCGUUAGUCGGACAUGAAAGCUCCUGGCUUAACUGGGAGAGGUUGUUCGAUACUGCGGGGCGUGCAGUUGGGAGAGGGACGUGGAAUUCCCGGUGUGGUGGUGGAAUGCGUAGAUAUCGGGAGGAACACCAGUGGCGCAAGCGGCGUCCUGGCCCACACCUGACGCUGGGGUACGAAAGCGUGGGUAGCAAACAG